AUCGCUUCUCGGCCUUUUGGCUCAGAUCAAUUGUAGUAUCUGUUCUUAUCAGUUUAAUAUCUGAUACGUCCCCCAUCGGGGGACUACAUAUUAAAUGGAUUUUUCGAAACAGGAGUCGGAAAUGGGGCUGCUCCGUCCGCUCCACGCAUCGACCCGGUAUUGCAGUACCUCCGGGAACGGUGCAACACUU
RNAcentral lists this small nuclear RNA (190 nucleotides) under Oncorhynchus tshawytscha (Chinook salmon). RNAcentral describes it as "U2 spliceosomal RNA". It matches the Rfam family "U2 spliceosomal RNA". From Rfam's summary of the family: U2 is a small nuclear RNA (snRNA) component of the spliceosome (involved in pre-mRNA splicing). Complementary binding between U2 snRNA (in an area lying towards the 5' end but 3' to hairpin I) and the branchpoint sequence (BPS) of the intron results the bulging out of an unpaired adenosine, on the BPS, which initiates a nucleophilic attack at the intronic 5' splice site, thus starting the first of two transesterification reactions that mediate splicing. Lineage: Eukaryota; Metazoa; Chordata; Actinopteri; Salmoniformes; Salmonidae. The record is from Rfam by way of RNAcentral.